GACACAGCUUGCCGACAGAUGCACAAAAUCAAUGGAGACAAAUCACAGAUACUCAGAGACGCAGUUCAAAGCUCUGGAGGCCGGAGGCAGAGACGCGGAGUUGCUGAGGGCGGAUGAUAGCAGAAGUCUGCUCGAGUCUGGCACAUGGCUUGGGAAUGUUUUGCUCAGGAUGUGCUUCUAUCGUCUGGCAGAAUGUGAAGGACGCUCUGUAAUGACCCCUGAUAACACUGGAUCCCUUCUCCUUGGAACCACAGUCCCCUCCUAACUGAUGUUACAGGAUGAAGAAACACCCAAGGAACUCGGCCUUGGGAGGACGAAAUAAUAUGACCUGGGAUCACCUUUCCCUUUGAAUCUCAAGAC
This 360-nucleotide long non-coding RNA is filed under the name Felis catus (domestic cat). RNAcentral's name for it is "lncRNA (ENSFCAG00000051581.1)". Lineage: Eukaryota; Metazoa; Chordata; Mammalia; Carnivora; Felidae. The record is from RNAcentral.